RNAcentral lists this ribosomal RNA (254 nucleotides) under uncultured bacterium. RNAcentral's name for it is "partial 16S ribosomal RNA". It matches the Rfam family "Bacterial small subunit ribosomal RNA", at positions 524 to 776 of the family's 1533-position model. The record is from RNAcentral.
UACGUAGGGGGCAAGCGUUGUUCGGAAUUACUGGGCGUAAAGGGCGCGUAGGCGGCCAGAUAAGUCCGGUGUGAAAGUCACAGGCUCAACCUGUGAAUGCCGCUGGAAACUGUAUGGCUAGAGUCCGGAAGGGGCGAGUGGAAUUCCUGGGUGUAGCGGUGAAAUGCGCAGAUAUCAGGAAGAACACCCGUGGCGAAGGCGGCUCUCUGGGACGGUACUGACGCUGAGACGCGAAAGCGUGGGGAGCGAACAGG